GGGCCUAUAGCUCAGUUGGUUAGAGCACCUGACUCAUAAUCAGGUGGUCGCUGGUUCGAGCCCAGCUGGGCCCACGA
Molecule: transfer RNA, 77 nt
Filed under: Cryomorphaceae bacterium
Lineage: Bacteria; Pseudomonadati; Bacteroidota; Flavobacteriia; Flavobacteriales; Cryomorphaceae
Description: tRNA-Met
Rfam family: tRNA
About the family: Transfer RNA (tRNA) molecules are approximately 80 nucleotides in length. Their secondary structure includes four short double-helical elements and three loops (D, anti-codon, and T loops).
Source: RNAcentral